This 450-nucleotide long non-coding RNA is filed under the name Capsicum annuum. RNAcentral's name for it is "long non-coding RNA (CANN_LNC020139)". Lineage: Eukaryota; Viridiplantae; Streptophyta; Magnoliopsida; Solanales; Solanaceae. The record is from RNAcentral.
UUAAGAACAACAAGUUUAACACAGUUUUCACAACUGAGAAUGAGUAACGUAUGUAACACAUCUCCUUGCCUAAAAUUCAUAGCCUUGAUAAAUUCGCGCUAUCCGUUGUUGAUCCUCCGAUAGUUGUUGAUGCUAGAAGCACCAACCUGAGCAAGAUACACCUCAGUUUCACAAUGAAAGAUCUUAACCGACGUCAGAUUUAGGGGGAAGUAGUCGUUGAUACAUAGUGGCAGCCACUACAAUCCAAGAAAAACAAAAGUGAUAAAUGCAAUAAACGAGGACAAAUAGAAAAGCUUUUCAAGAAAAUAUUAAAUAAAUCUACCAGUCUUGCUCAAAGUAGGAGCGGCACAGAUUAACUUGGAACUGAUGGACGGGUCUUGUCUACGUUUGAACGGGGAUGAACAGUGAUAUUUUUUCUAUUUCCUUUUUAGAUAUUUACGAAGGAAUACA